UACGGGAGGCAGCAGUGGGGAAUAUUGCACAAUGGGCGCAAGCCUGAUGCAGCCAUGCCGCGUGUAUGAAGAAGGCCUUCGGGUUGUAAAGUACUUUCAGUCGUGAGGAAGGUGUUAAGGUUAAUAACCUUAGCAAUUGACGUUAGCGACAGAAGAAGCACCGGCUAACUCCGUGCCAGCAGCCGCGGUAAUACGGAGGGUGCGAGCGUUAAUCGGAAUUACUGGGCGUAAAGGGCACGCAGGCGGUUAAUUAAGUUGGAUGUGAAAUCCCCGGGCUUAACCUGGGAAUGGCAUUCAAGACUGGUUAGCUAGAGUCUUGUAGAGGGGGUAGAAUUCCAUGUGUAGCGGUGAAAUGUGUAGAGAUGUGGAGGAAUACCGGUGGCGAAGGCGGCCCCUGGGACAAAGGACUGACGCUCAUGUGCGAAAGCGUGGGGAGCAAACG
This 442-nucleotide ribosomal RNA is filed under the name uncultured bacterium. RNAcentral's name for it is "bacterial SSU rRNA". It matches the Rfam family "Bacterial small subunit ribosomal RNA", at positions 340 to 774 of the family's 1533-position model. The record is from RNAcentral.